CAGCCGCCGCGGGAAUACGAAGGGUGCAAGCGUUAAUCGGAAUUACUGGGCGUAAAGCGUGCGUAGGCGGUGAGUUAAGUCUGCUGUGAAAUCCCCGGGCUCAACCUGGGAAUGGCAGUGGAUACUGGCUCGCUAGAGUGUGUCAGAGGAUGGUGGAAUUUCCGGUGUAGCGGUGAAAUGCGUAGAGAUCGGGAGGAACAUCAGUGGCGAAGGCGGCCAUCUGGGACAACACUGACGCUGAGGCACGAAAGCGUGGGGAGCAAACAGGAUUAGAUACCCCCGUAGUCCCUGUCUCUUAUAC
RNAcentral lists this ribosomal RNA (301 nucleotides) under uncultured bacterium. Its description in RNAcentral is "partial 16S ribosomal RNA". It matches the Rfam family "Bacterial small subunit ribosomal RNA", at positions 509 to 807 of the family's 1533-position model. The record is from RNAcentral.